Molecule: ribosomal RNA, 505 nt
Filed under: uncultured bacterium
Lineage: Bacteria
Description: partial 16S ribosomal RNA
Rfam family: Bacterial small subunit ribosomal RNA
Source: RNAcentral
ACUCAAAUGAAUUGACGGGGGCCCGCACAAGCGGUGGAGCAUGUGGCUUAAUUCGAUGCAACGCGAAGAACCUUACCUGGCCUUGACAUGUACGUAGUAGAAGGGUGAAAGCCUGACGAGGUAGCAAUACCAGCGUACACAGGUGCUGCAUGGCUGUCGUCAGCUCGUGCCGUGAGGUGUUCGGUUAAGUCCGGUAACGAGCGCAACCCCUGUGAUCUGUUGCCACUCUCAGCAAUGAGAAGCACUCUGAUCAGACUGCCCUGCAUAACGGGGAGGAAGGUGGGGAUGACGUCAAGUCAGUAUGGUCCUUACGGCCAGGGCUGCACACGUGCUACAAUGCCCAGUACAGAGGGAAGCCAACCCGCGAGGGGGAGCCAAUCCCAAAAAACUGGGCCCAGUUCAGAUUGAAGGCUGCAACUCGCCUUCAUGAAGCUGGAAUCGCUAGUAAUGGCGCAUCAGCUACGGCGCCGUGAAUACGUUCCCGGGCCUUGCACACACCGCCCGU